Molecule: ribosomal RNA, 429 nt
Filed under: uncultured bacterium
Lineage: Bacteria
Description: bacterial SSU rRNA
Rfam family: Bacterial small subunit ribosomal RNA
Source: RNAcentral
AACGAACGUUAGCGGCGCGCCUAACACAUGCAAGUCGAGCGAGAAAGGGCUUCGGCCCCGGUAAAGCGGCGCACGGGUGAGUAACACGUGGAUAACCUACCCCUUGGUGGUGGAUAACCUUCCGAAAGGAGGGCUAAUACAGCGUAAGACCACGACUUCGAAAGAGGUUGAGGUAAAAGUGGGCCUCUGUACACAAGCUCACGCCAGGGGGAUGGGUCCGCGGCCCAUCAGCUAGUUGGUAGGGUAACGGCCUACCAAGGCGAAGACGGGUAGCUGGUCUGAGAGGAUGAUCAGCCACACUGGAACUGAGACACGGUCCAGACUCCUACGGGAGGCAGCAGUGGGGAAUCUUGCGCAAUGGGACGAAAGUCUGACGCAGCGACGCCGCGUGAGUGAUGAAGGCCUUGGGUUCGUAAGACGUCUGUCCUC